GUCCAGACUCCUACGGGAGGCAGCAGUGGGGGAUAUUGCACAAUGGGGGAAACCCUGAUGCAGCGACGCCGCGUGGGUGAAGAAGCGCCUCGGCGCGUAAAGCCCUGUCAGCAGGGAAGAAAAUGACGGUACCCAAGGAAUAAGCCCCGGCUAACUACGUGCCAGCAGCCGCGGUAAUGCGUAGGGGGCAAGCGUUAUCCGGAUUUACUGGGUGUAAAGGGAGCGUAGACGGCGGUGCAAGCCAGAUGUGAAAGCCCGGGGCUCAACCCCGGGACUGCAUUUGGAACUGUGCUGCUAGAGUGUCGGAGAGGCAGGCGGAAUUCCUAGUGUAGCGGUGAAAUGCGUAGAUAUUAGGAGGAACACCAGUGGCGAAGGCGGCCUGCUGGACGAUGACUGACGUUGAGGCUCGAAAGCGUGGGGAGCAAACAGGAUUAGAUACCCUAGUA
This 446-nucleotide ribosomal RNA is filed under the name uncultured bacterium. RNAcentral's name for it is "partial 16S ribosomal RNA". It matches the Rfam family "Bacterial small subunit ribosomal RNA", at positions 329 to 792 of the family's 1533-position model. The record is from RNAcentral.